Molecule: ribosomal RNA, 301 nt
Filed under: uncultured bacterium
Lineage: Bacteria
Description: partial 16S ribosomal RNA
Rfam family: Bacterial small subunit ribosomal RNA
Source: RNAcentral
CAGUAGCCGCGGUAAUACGAAGGGUGCAAGCGUUACUCGGAAUUACUGGGCGUAAAGCGUGCGUAGGUGGUGGUUUAAGUCCGUUGUGAAAGCCCUGGGCUCAACCUGGGAAUUGCAGUGGAUACUGGGUCACUAGAGUGUGGUAGAGGAUAGUGGAAUUUCCGGUGUAGCAGUGAAAUGCGUAGAGAUCGGAAGGAACAUCUGUGGCGAAGGCGACUACCUGGGCCAACACUGACACUGAGGCACGAAAGCGUGGGGAGCAAUCAGGAUUAGAUACCCCCGUAGUCCCUGUCUCUUAUAC